Solanum lycopersicum (tomato) is the source of this 389-nucleotide non-coding RNA. NCBI's taxonomy places the organism in Eukaryota, Viridiplantae, Streptophyta, Magnoliopsida, Solanales, Solanaceae. The record is from RefSeq and is a predicted model, not a curated record.
UAUGAACAGAUCUUGAACUGAAGUUUGACCAUUUCAUGAUCACUUCUCCGAAAAGCCCCCGACAUAAAUAUGGUCAAUUGAGUGGGACUUGGAAGCUCAUUUGGUUUGAUAACAACGAUCAACCAGCAAAUCAGGAGAAAGUAACGGCAGCCCAGCCCAUGUGUCAUCAACAUACCUUGGAUAUCAAAGUUCACAGCAGACAACAGACAGGCAUGGAUAACUUUUCUGAUUCACUCGUCUCACCAUCAUUGUCCCUGAAGCAAAAGCAUUUGGUUUAAAUUUUCAGCUUUCCACAAAGACAAUAUAACUCAGAAGCACAAGGAAACAAAGUGUAUAUCACCAAGUAAACCAUAAAAAGAAGAAAAAUAGUACGUCACUGAGUAAAGCAU